This 90-nucleotide transfer RNA is filed under the name bacterium. Its description in RNAcentral is "tRNA-Ser". It matches the Rfam family "tRNA". Rfam says of the family: Transfer RNA (tRNA) molecules are approximately 80 nucleotides in length. Their secondary structure includes four short double-helical elements and three loops (D, anti-codon, and T loops). Further hydrogen bonds mediate the characteristic L-shaped molecular structure. tRNAs have two regions of fundamental functional importance: the anti-codon, which is responsible for specific mRNA codon recognition, and the 3' end, to which the tRNAs corresponding amino acid is attached (by aminoacyl-tRNA synthetases). tRNAs cope with the degeneracy of the genetic code in two manners: having more than one tRNA (with a specific anti-codon) for a particular amino acid; and 'wobble' base-pairing, i.e. permitting non-standard base-pairing at the 3rd anti-codon position. The record is from RNAcentral.
GGAGAUUUGGCAGAGUGGUCGAUUGCGUUGGUCUUGAAAACCAAUGAACGUUUGCGCGUUCCCAGGGUUCGAAUCCCUGAGUCUCCGCCA